Long non-coding RNA from Humulus lupulus (European hop), 2514 nucleotides. RefSeq lists it as uncharacterized. The transcript is spliced from 4 exons. The record is from RefSeq and is a predicted model, not a curated record. NCBI's taxonomy places the organism in Eukaryota, Viridiplantae, Streptophyta, Magnoliopsida, Rosales, Cannabaceae.
UUUUAUAGCGUCAUUCUAGCUCACGCAAAGAGAAUCACCUCACUAGAAUAAAAGUGGUGACGGUCACAUUAAAUUUCUUUGUAAGAGUCACCUACAAUAGGUGAACUCAAAAGCAAAACAAAAAUGCCUAAAAAAAAAAGCUAAUAAGAUCAUCUCCAACACUCAGCUUCAAAUGCACUUUUGCAUCAAAUAUGUGCAAAAUCUAAUGCAACAGCUCCUGUCCACUUGCAAAAUGAGAAAAGAAGUACGAGAUUUUCCAAAACUUGUCGGUCUUGGUAAAAUUUGGUUGGAUGGUUUAGGCAGAGAAGAAGACAGGGAAGAGAGGAAGCUCAACUUCAUAGUAAAACAACUCUUGUCCACUUGCAUCUGGAGUUUAAUGAUGAUUAUUCAAGGAAGGAAACCCAUGAGAUUGUACUUGAAACUUGAAACUCUGCAACCACAUGAAAACUUAAAUUGUUUAAGAAUUGAGGGGUAUUGUGGUGGGUCCAUAAAUCCUAGUUGGAUGAUAUCGUUGAUUGAUCUGAGAAGCUUAUACAUGUUUGCUUGUGAUGAGCUCGAGACAUUGCCUCCUUUGGGGAAACUCCCAUGCCUCGAAUCGCUUUCUAUAUACAAUUCUCUAAGUGUAGAGAAGAUUGGGCCUGAAUUUUUGGGAGUAGAAAUAGAUAACAACACAUCAGCAGUAGAGUCGUUGUUUCCCAAACUCAAACAACUCCAUUUGGAUUUAUUAUAUUCGUUGAAGGAAUGGGUAGGGGUGGUGGGUGGAAGAUUAGCGGUCCUUUGAAAAUAAUGCCUUUGCUUCAGUUUUUGGAAAUCGAAGACUCCCUAUGCUGGAAAUGUUGCCUGACUUCCAGGAGUCAACACCAUUGAAGAAGUUGGAGAUUCGUUUCUGUGAUAUUCUAAUGAAAUCUUGCCAGAGGGAGACAGGAAAUGAGUGGCCCAAGAUUCAUCAUGUCCUAAACAUUACUAUCUCAAUUCUAUAAUGAUAGAGGUAAAAAUAUACGAGAAAUUUUGAAGCAAUGGUAGACUAAUGAUGAAGAUCGAGUGAUUUGAUGUCAAUAUUGUCCUUCCUAAUGCGGAGGAAAAGAAAUUGGGUAUUUUGAAAAUUUUAUCAUUUGAAAGUGAAUUUUGUCCAACACCACCACCGAUAGAUGAGGACAUUCUACUAUCGAAGAUGCCUUUGUUGAGGCCUGGACUUUUUCUGCUAAAAAAGCGUUUGGAGGUUUGUUUUUUGUUUUGUUUUUUCAUUUUUUUUUUAAAAAUACUUUGUAUACAUGAUUUUGUUUUAAUGUUUUUAUCUUCUUGUUUAGUUGUAUGUAGGAUCAUUACAACAAGAUGUUCCAAGAUCAAAUCAAGGAGUUACAUGUAAAGCUGACUGAAGUCCAAGCUUCCCAAAAGUUGAUUCUUGAUGAAGUUAGUUCUUUGAAGAAAAGUUUUGAAGCUGAUUUUGCUACAUCGAUCAGUUUUCUUGUAGACAUUAAGACUGUUGUGUCUGUCAAAACUGAUGGUGGAGAUUUACAUUCUGAAAAUCAAAUGGAUUUUGACCAUGUUUCUCAGGAUUAUUUUGAUGAUAUUUGUGUGGGAGGGUACCAAGAUUUUGAACUUGGUGAAAAGUUGGGGCUGAUUUGGACCUUCUCUGAAGAUUGUUUCAGAUAUUGUUAAUCCUUUUAAGAGCCAAUCUAAAGAUGCAUCUUUGCUAUGCUCGACUCCUUCAACUCCUACAUUUCACGUGUCUAAUGAAAUGUGGAAAGUUAUAAAUGAGUCAGUUGAGAGACCAUUAAAAGAGAGCAUUUAUGUCGAGGAUAAAAGUAAUUAGUCAAUUGUUGUUUAUGAUGCUUCAAAAGUAGUUGAUGGUGGGGCGAUUUUGCCUAAGAAAAGAAAGGUGAAGUCGAUCGCUGUGGUCAAGUCUCAUUUCCUGACAAAGUUUGGGUCUUCUGAAGAUGAAGGUAAACAAAAAAGAAAGAUGACUGUAUUGGAUAAUAUAUGUCCUUUUUCUAAUGAUCUUGGUCAUGAUCACACUGAAAAACAAGCUUCUGAGUUUCAUAGUUGGAUUGAAACUAAAAUCAAACACAAUAACAAGUUUGUACAAUUUUUUUUUUUUUUUGAAUUUUUUUUUGCUUUGUUGAAAUUGUUUGUUUGAUUUUCUAAAAAUUGUUUAGUUUAUUUAUUUUUUAGGUUUAAGAAAUAUGAUGAUAACAAGGUUGAGCCAUCAAUUGAUUUCACUUUCAUUUUUAUUGAUAAGAAGACUUGGUUAUACUGUUUGUAUUAUCCUAGGCAGUUUGCUGAAUCAUCAGUGAAUUUCUUUCCUUUUAUGUUGUGUUUAUCAUUUUUCAAUUUUUUUUUUUUAAAUUUCAUUGAUCUAGAUCAAUUCUAUAUUAUGUUGUGAUGAGGUAACCAGUUACCACCGUCAUUUUUUAUGCUACAAUGCUCUGUGUAACUAGUUACCCAAAUGUAUAAUUUAAUGUGUAGUUGAUGGUAACUGGUUACCCAAACUUUAUAAUUUGUUGUGUAGCUAAU